GAGGGAAAGUUCUAUACAAAAGCAUCCCAGCUAAUAAACAUGGCAAGAAUGGUCAUAUAAUGAAGUCACCACUUGUAAUCCUUAGUGCAAGAAAUGAUUCAAGCAAAGGCAAUCAGUAGAUGAAACGGCGAGCUGGAUGGGUGCUGAAAUGGAGGAAAGGGAUCCAGCUAUUCUCUCGUGCUCCAUUCAUCCAUCUUAGCAUCAUGAAUAAAGGACUCUUCAUGUGUGCUGCCUGGUGGCAUGCACUCAGGAUGAAGUACAGGGCGCCACCUCUGACAUACUCUCAAAGAGCUGACCUAGACUAUAAAGCACUCCCCUUGCUGCCCGCUCUCGGCCCUUAAGGAAAGUGAAGCCUGGAGAAGGAACACCUUUAAUGCAAGGACAGUUGAGCCACUUUCAAAUCAGAGUCCUUUUCUUAGAGGGCAGGGAGGGUGUAGUAGGCAGAGACUGAUUCUUAAUGUUUUUCAGGUAGAAUAUGGCUCUGUGAGGAAAUGCCCAUUUGUUAGUAAUAUUGGAUCACUAUUGGGGGAUAUCAGGGGGCCUGAUGCCUGGGGUUUGCUUUAAAAUCCCCUGGAAGAAGAAAAAGACGUUCCAAGAGGGGAAGGAGUUCCCAGUGUGGCUGAGCAGGUAAAGAACCCAGUAUAGUCUCUAUGAGCAUUCGGGAACUAUCCCUGGCCUCAACCCAUGGGUUAAGGAUCCGGGGUUGCUGCAGGUUCUGGUGUAGGCUGGCAACGGCAGGUAUGAUUGGACCCCUAGCCUGGGGACUUUCAUAUGUUGUAGGUGUGGCCCUAAAAAAGUAAAUAAAUAAAAAAGCAAACAGGGGAAGGGAGAGAUAAAGCUAGUGUGGCAGAAUCUUGCUGCCUUUUGAGUCUGGUAGUAAAGUGGGGGAGUGGUUGCAUGUACUCUUCUCCCUGUGCACAUCUUGGACAGUCUGACAUGAUACAGGUGAUCACCAGGCUGUAGGAAAGAAGGUUGGGUGUUUUUAGCAGAAGUUGAAGAGGGAGACAUGAGACUCUCCGAAACCUCUGUCCACACGAGGUUGAGAAUAUGGACGAUUUGUUUGACAGUCAUUAAAAUGCAGAUCCAAAAAGACCUGCUGGCAAGUAGGUAAGAUUUUUAAUGGGAUUUUGUGUAUUCGACUAGGCAACGAGUGAAUCAAACGCAGCCACAGAGGGUAACAGCCAUUAUGGGGCCAAAUUACCUUUGGCGUGGCCUAGAGUCCGUCCAGGUCAGUGACACAGCAACCUGAUGUAAUCCGUCCUAUGAAGCCUGGUAAUGUGGGGUUUGGAAAGCCAAUACAACGAGGAAUAUUCUGUGUCUUGGCUCUCCAGUGGGUAUUUGUAAGAGAAGACAACCAGCCCACCAACCAAGAGCGCAAAGGAACCCAGACAGGCCACGAGAGCAGCCCCGCCGACUUCCUGGGAGUCCGGCUUGAAGGGUACAUUGAAAGAUGGUGGCAAGGAAGGUGGCGCGUCCUUGACAGACUGGUGGUUCCAGACCACAGCAGCUAGGAUCCAGGCACCAGCAGCUAUGUUCAGCAUUCCUGCAACAGCAAAUGGAUUACAGGUGUUCUUUGCACUCUUCUCAGGUACACAUUCCUAAGCGCAAAGACGAUGGCAGCUUUGCCUAAAAGAAUGCUCGCCACUAGCAAGAAGUUUUGGGCAACACGGAUAUCAAGUGGGAUGUAAGUAUCGCGGUGGUUGUAAUGGUGGCACCCACUGGCUCUGUUGACGCCGUUGAGGUGAUGGAAGCUGCAGGCUCUCCCCAUUCCCACGCAGGGUAGGCCGGAGGGUAAGAGCGAGGUGUUGUUGACAUACCACACUCGCCACUCCGCCAGGUCCAUGGACCUGGUGCCGAGGAUCCCUCUGAUGGUGGCCACCAUGAACCCUGCCAGCUGCCGUCUAGGGCUUCCAUUGAACAAGGGCAUGGUGGCCACGCUCCCUGGGGAACUGCAAAGGAACACAGGGCAUCCAUCAGGAGACUGGGCCCCUGGUGCCUGGAACAGACCUCUGGGGUGAGCAGUGCUCUUCUGAGAGGGAGGUUCUCAGCUGCAGGGGAGGUGCUAUGCUGGGAGGCAAGCCCCAUGCUGGGGGUACGAGUAGCGGGGAAAGCACUAUCCUGAGAGGGAGGCCCUUUGUUGAGAGUGAAGCGCUAUGCUGAGAGAGAGAGGUGCUUUGCUCAGAGGGAGGCGCUGUGCUGGAGAGAAGGGCUGUUACCUGGGGACAGAGACCUCUGCGGGGAUGGGCAUGGGAACGGGGGCGCAGGCCACGCAAAGAUGUGAGGGGCCAGCUGGCAUUAUGGACUGAAGCCUUAUCAUGCAAAGACCUUCAAACAGGCAGUUCCACUUUGGGGCAUUUGUGCAAAUAUCUCAUCAAAACUGGCCAUAAACAUAUAGUCACAGAGAGGGUCAGCACUGUGGGGACUAUGGAAAAAUGGGGAAACAACUGCCAGUCCCCCCAGAGGGCUUGGUGACCAUCAUUUGUGCUCAUUCCACACAAGGGAGCUCUGUGCCAACAUUCACAAUGUAAUGGCAGCGUCCACAGUGUGGUGUGUUGUGUCUGGCUCUUCUCAAGGUCCUUCCUUUUUGGAGCAUGUGAGGGCUUUGUUGCUGGGCCUGCAGAGGAGCAUUCAGUUGUAUGGCUGGACCACCGGUGGGUGAUUCAUUCCUCAGUGUUUGGACAUUUGGAUUGGUUCCAAGUUUUGGCUGUUGUGAACAAUGCUGCUAUAAACAGACUUUAAUAAAACGUUGGCUGGGCCCAUGUUCUCAUGUCUCGCAUGUGGACACCCAGGGCAGGGAUGAGUGGAUCGUAUGGCAAGUGGAAGGUGAACUUUUGAGAAAGCUCGAAACUGUUUCCCUGCGUGGCUGCACCAUUUUACAUUCCCACCAGCAAUGGGUGACCCUCCCAGUUUCUCCAUAUCUUGUCCAACAUUUGGAUGAUUUUAGUCUUUUUGAUGAUGGCCAUCCUAGUUGGUGAUGAAAUGCAAAAUGUGACCGGAAGGAAGAUGGUCACAAUCUAUCGAGUACAGUCUGUUAUAAGAACUUGUCUGUAUAACGUAAUCAGAGACAUGAAAAGAACUGGGCGGUGGGGGUCUAUAUGUUGAGAGGGGUUGUGGGUUUGGAAAGCUAUUUGUAUCAUGAAGAACCACAUACUGAUGGAAAAGAGCCCCUAAUCUAAGUAGAGAGCUCAGCGAGUCACCCCGGGGCCAGUACCCACACAGCCACUGCUCGGCUGAGGAGACACAGUAUCACCUCUUCCUUAUUUGUCCUGAGACUUUUCCAGCUCAGAAUGCAGCCCAAACAGAGUUCACUUCUGUCUGCUUUUCAAGAAAGGGAUUGGGCAUUAGGUGUCUGAGUGUGACUGGCUUCUUUUGCUCAACACUGUGUUCACAACCUUGGAUUGUUUCUUUUAUGGAUAUUUGGCCUUUCAGUAGAUAUUGGUCAUGGGCCUGAUUUUUCGAAAGAAAAAAGACUUCAUUCAAGUGAAGCAAUGGAGGGGGGUUCUGGUGUGUAAAUACACUUGUGUAUUGUGGGCAUGAAAGUAAUUCAUUCACCAAGACCCUUAGCAGAUGUGAGAGGAGCCCAAGCCUGGCCCAGGGAAGUAGCUCAAUAGCCAUAGAAGGAAAAGCCAAAUGUGAGGAAAACAAAGGACUGUGUUUUACAGGUUGAGUUCAAGUUACAUGAACAGUUGCAUUGGUCUCCUUAUCUUCAGUAUCUGUGUCAGAGUCUUUGUUUUCUUUUCACUCGACCUGGCGAAAAAGAUCUUAGACCCAACAAAAUACUACUUAAACUCAAGAGGUUGGCUAAUAUAAGACAAAAGAAAUCAAAACAGGAAAUAGCAAGUGUUGGCCAGGAUGUGGAGCAACCGGGACUCUUGAGCUUUGCUGGUGGGACUAGAAACUGGUACAGCCACCGUGAAGAAUGACCAUUCCUCAAAAAACCUAGACUUACUGAAUGAUCCAGAAAUUUCUCUUCUGCCUAUUUCUACACAACAGGAAAGGCAGGGACUUGAACAGCUUCUUCUGCACCCAUGCUCAUAUCAGCCUGAUUCCUGAGAGGGAGACAUGAAAGCACCCAAUUCUCCAUCCAUGGAUGAAGGGACAGACAAAGUGUGGUCUCUCCAUUGAGUGGAGUACUUUUUAGUCUUAGAAUGGAAGGAGAUUCUGUCCCAGGCUGCAGUAGGAAUGAGCCUUAAAGACUAGUUCUGCUGAGGGAAAUAAGCCCAUUACAGAGAGAGACAAAUAGCAUAUGCUCCCACUUAGAUUCAGAACCUCGAGGGGUCAGAUUCACAGCCCAGGGAGGGAGGAAUGGACAGCCCAAGGCCUGGAGGAGGGAGGCAUGGGUAGUUAGUGUUCAGUGGGGAGGGAGGCAUGGGUAGUUAGUGUUACCAGGGCCCGAGAGAGGGUGGCAUGGGUAGUUAGGGUUCAUCUGAGACAAAGGUUUCCAUUUAGGGAGAUGGAUGGUGUUGCCCACUGGGCGACAUUGUGAAUGACCCUAAUAACACCGAGUAGUGUAUUUAAAAGGUGAAAUAAUGAACGUUGUCUAUUUAACCACCUCAAAAAAACACAUAGAGAACAAAUAAGGCUGAGCCUCUACUAACCCAUCUCCAGAGGAAGGAGCGUCUGGGGUGAAGGAAGGCCCGCUUGGCAAGGAACACCUGCCAUGGAUCUCAGGCCCCCUGUCCAACAUCUCCUCUCAGCGCCUGGCUCCUCAGUGUGGACAGAGCUGAGUUCUCAGCCACACUGUGAACCUGGCCUUUGAGUCCCAGGUCCUGUCCUCAGCCUUCCACUGAUUCCACAUUCUCCUGCCCAUUGUCCGCAUCUCCAGUGUUCCCAGUUGCUAGGUCACUAAUGCCAUGGCAGCAGCCCUUUUCCUCUUGAUCAGGGCACGGGCUGGUGCUUCCUUUCUUACUCUGGGCUCCUCUUUGUCUCUCAGCUUUUUUUAUUCUGAAAUAAAAAGACGUGGAGCCCGAGUCCACUUUUCAGAUCUUUGUGAGUGUUUCAGACAUGCCCCCUAAUCCCUUUCGCUUGUCACCCAGAAAUGGUUCCUAACCCAUCUCAUCUGUAGUUAAUGCCAUUUCUGAAGCAGUGGCAAUGUGCACAUGCAGGUGUUCGCAGAAGGGGCAGCCACUGGGGGGGAUUUAUUUGUGAAAGACCACGGACGAGGAACACAUUAGCAGAGACAC
This 5183-nucleotide long non-coding RNA is filed under the name Sus scrofa (pig). RNAcentral's name for it is "lncRNA (ENSSSCG00000047646.1)". The record is from RNAcentral. Lineage: Eukaryota; Metazoa; Chordata; Mammalia; Artiodactyla; Suidae.